GCCGGCUAAAAGUCGGAGAAGUGGGGAUGACGUCAAAUCAUCAUGCCCCUUAUGACCUGGGCUACACACGUGCUACAAUGGGCGGUACAAAGGGUCGCGAACCCGCGAGGGGGAGCCAAUCCCAAAAAGCCGCUCUCAGUUCGGAUUGCAGGCUGCAACUCGCCUGCAUGAAGCCGGAAUCGCUAGUAAUCGCGGAUCAGCAUGCCGCGGUGAAUACGUUCCCGGGCCUU
This 230-nucleotide ribosomal RNA is filed under the name uncultured Anoxybacillus sp. RNAcentral's name for it is "partial 16S ribosomal RNA". It matches the Rfam family "Bacterial small subunit ribosomal RNA", at positions 1151 to 1382 of the family's 1533-position model. Lineage: Bacteria; Bacillati; Bacillota; Bacilli; Caryophanales; Anoxybacillaceae. The record is from RNAcentral.